This 253-nucleotide ribosomal RNA is filed under the name uncultured bacterium. Its description in RNAcentral is "partial 16S ribosomal RNA". It matches the Rfam family "Bacterial small subunit ribosomal RNA", at positions 524 to 776 of the family's 1533-position model. The record is from RNAcentral.
CACGUAGGGCGCAAGCGUUGUCCGGAAUUAUUGGGCGUAAAGAGCUCGUAGGCGGUCUGUCACGUCGGAUGUGAAAACUCGGGGCUCAACCCCGAGCCUGCAUACGAUACGGGCAGACUUGAGUUCGGCAGGGGAGACUGGAAUUCCUGGUGUAGCGGUGAAAUGCGCAGAUAUCAGGAGGAACACCGGUGGCGAAGGCGGGUCUCUGGGCCGAUACUGACGCUGAGGAGCGAAAGCGUGGGGAGCGAACAGG